Molecule: transfer RNA, 77 nt
Filed under: Elstera litoralis
Lineage: Bacteria; Pseudomonadati; Pseudomonadota; Alphaproteobacteria; Rhodospirillales; Rhodospirillaceae
Also listed under: 3 other names
Description: tRNA-Pro
Rfam family: tRNA
About the family: Transfer RNA (tRNA) molecules are approximately 80 nucleotides in length. Their secondary structure includes four short double-helical elements and three loops (D, anti-codon, and T loops).
Source: RNAcentral
CGGGGCGUAGCGCAGUCUGGUAGCGCGCCUGCUUUGGGAGCAGGAUGUCGGGGGUUCAAAUCCUCUCGCCCCGACCA